RNAcentral lists this transfer RNA (42 nucleotides) under Aristelliger lar (spotted Caribbean gecko). Its description in RNAcentral is "partial tRNA-Cys". The record is from RNAcentral. Lineage: Eukaryota; Metazoa; Chordata; Lepidosauria; Squamata; Sphaerodactylidae.
UUGGAGUAGCACCCCAAUAGGGUGCCGGGGCUUCUCCCGUUU